AAGUCGUAACAAGGUUUCCGUAGGUGAACCUGCGGAAGGAUCAUUAAAAAAUCUCUUGAGCCGCAAGGCUCUAAUAUUUUGUGAACCUAUCGAUAGUGCGUGUGAUGAUUAUGUAUGUGGUGGAGGAUCAUUAUGAACAAUGAUGACCCUGCAAGCCAUGUAUAUUGUCUAUCUAUCUGCCUAUCAAAAGAUUAAACAUAUGUUUUUGAUGUUGAGGAAAUUAUAUAUCUAAUAAUAUAUAUACAACUUUCAACAGUGGAUCUCUCGGCUCUU
RNAcentral lists this unclassified non-coding RNA (273 nucleotides) under fungal sp. Its description in RNAcentral is "partial internal transcribed spacer region". The stretch from base 1 to 46 matches the Rfam family "Eukaryotic small subunit ribosomal RNA", at positions 1786 to 1831 of the family's 1831-position model. The record is from RNAcentral. Lineage: Eukaryota; Fungi.